GUCGUCCUCUGGUCCAGGCCUGACAGAACACAGCAGCUGCGCUCCCUCACCCGCUACGCUCCACCUAUCACCGAGGCGCAUUGACACACGCACACAUUUUUCACUUCCAUCACCGGCGCCGUGCUAGCAACGAAAAGCGUUGCGCUACGUUUUCGCUGAGGCGUCUUCGUCGCUGUCCUUCCACGUGCUCCCGUCGCGUGUGCCGUUGUCUCCGUGUGCCUGACCGGCCACAGCGCCACUACGAGGAGACGUGGUGGCAGACAACACCGUGUAAGCGGGACGUCCUUUACCUUUUUUCUUUCUCGCCUCCCUCGCACGUUCAGUUCCACGCGCGAUCGCCAUUACAUCUUUUCGUGUGCCCUCUGCCGGUUGUUCCCUGGGAAUUCCCGAAGAGCCAGCGAAAUAACCGCCACUUCGCUUAAAGAAGGGCAACACGCGCGCUCACUGGCACCUGCGCACGCACACGUGCAUUGCUGGCCCAGCGUAUAGCGGCAAUCCGCUGCUGCAGCAUAAGGCGGCGCGGGGUUGUCUUUGUUUCUUUUUCUUAUUGCAUGUGCUGGUGCCGCGUCACGCCACGCACGGUGGCCCUAUCGCGAUUUCAGGCCCUCCCUCCUCUGUCUCUCUCACUGGUCUCCGCACAGUCUUCCUCCGCCCCUUUUCUGUUCUUACGUUCUGCAG
RNAcentral lists this unclassified non-coding RNA (678 nucleotides) under Leishmania donovani. Its description in RNAcentral is "gene:unknown". Lineage: Eukaryota; Euglenozoa; Kinetoplastea; Trypanosomatida; Trypanosomatidae. The record is from RNAcentral.